RNAcentral lists this long non-coding RNA (2433 nucleotides) under Rhinolophus ferrumequinum (greater horseshoe bat). RNAcentral's name for it is "lncRNA (ENSRFEG00010020147.1)". The record is from RNAcentral. Lineage: Eukaryota; Metazoa; Chordata; Mammalia; Chiroptera; Rhinolophidae.
ACCAGCAUGCUGGGGCAUUCCCUGUGCCCCCGAUGGGGACAGGGACACUGAGGCCCACUGGAGUCCCACAGGCCCCGGAUGCCAGCAAUGAUGGCCAUUCUUGUCCCAGGUUCCAGUACCCAGAUCCCACAGCCUUCCUGUGCACUGGGCUACCCCUGGCCCUGGCACACAGCAGCCACCAGGACAGCCUCUGCUCUUGCCCUUGGGAGCCUGCCGUCUGGUGAGAACAGUGACCUACCUGGUGGGGGUGAUAGUCCUCAGUCACUCACCACGCACCCCCAGGCAGCCUACACCCCACGUGGCACCCCGGAGGCAGCCUUAUGUCGCCAAUCAGCUGCUAACAGCCCCUCCCAGCUGCCCCAGCACAGACCCCCACGGACCUUCCUGGGCCCGCUCUGCCCUACCAUCCUCCCACCAGCACUUCCUUCGUGCUGCCCUGGGAAUGCUGGGGUUCCCUGGGGCUGUGUUUUAGGGCCUUUAUCCCCUCUCUGCACACAUUCCCGUGGUGUCACAUGUGGCCUGGAGGUGCCAGCUCCCUCUACAACCCUCCGGUCGUCUGACACCAUUUGGACAUCCAACAGUUCAAUUCCCAGGGCUGGCAUCACAUCCCACAGGUUAAGCUGCUCAGUCCCACAAGACUGUCCCUCACUUCAGACCCCAGCCACAAGUUCCCAGCCACCCACACUUCUGAACACUUGGCUAUAAAUCGGGUUCUGAGGACCCCUCCUAGGUUUGGUAAUUUGCUAGAAUGGCUCACGGUGCACAGGAAAAUACUUCGACAACUAAAGGGAGGAGAUGCAGAGGGCAGGGUAUGGGGACUGGCACAAGGCUUCUGUGCCUGCUUCAGGUUUGCCACCGUCGCAGCACCUCAUGUGUUCACCCAUUCCCGGUGGUUUCGGGGUUUUUAUGGAGAUUCUAUUCUGUGAGUAUGAUUGAGUAAAUUACUGGCCACUGGUGGUGAAAUUCAAUCUCUACCCAGGAACUCGGGGACAAAACCCAAAUACUUAUUUAUUAGACCAUAUUCCCUGUCCCCAGCCUGGAGGAUCUACCCUGGUUCCUCACCCUGCUUCCCUUCCCUCCCCAACUGCCUUUUCAUCUGCUCCUGAAUCCACUCCCUCGGAUAAGAGAUGUCUUCAGAUCUCAAGACCCCUCCUAGAACCACCUCCUCUAGGCAGCCUGCCCUGGCCAGCCCUGCCUCUGAGUUCCUUUGACUGGGGUGCCCCAGUCCACUACCAACUCCCCCUUAUACUGCGGUCCCUUGAGAGUGAAGACUUGCAGCCCCCAUACUCCCUAGGCCGGGCCCUGACCAUGCUUCCUGCGAAUGUUCCCAACUGUCCACCUUUUGGGCCUACUCCAAUGGUGGAAAGUUUCCAGCCAGAGGAGGCCACUUGUUUUGGAAAGUUCCUGGGGGAGCCGCCCCCGCCCGCCCGCCGAGUUCCCACGCUCUCUUAUCACUGGGUGCUAGCAGAGCUCAGUGCUGUGCAAGCCUAGCUCCUCCCCAGCUGGCUGCCUGGGCCUUGCCGUCCCCCCACCAAACAUUCCCCCCUCCCCCCAUCUGGCCCCGCAAGCCGUCCUGCUACAGGUGGGGAAACCAUGAGGCCUCCCAGGACUCCCCCCCCAUGUGAGCCCUGUCGAAGGGAGGUCGGCGUGCCUAGUGGGUGCUACUGCUCCAGAAGUGGGAAGGAGAGGCAGCCUGGGCUGGAGGAGCAUCAGGCUUUGGGGGUGCAAGUCCUAGUUCAGUCCUCUGCUUCAGUUUCCCCUGUAGUAUCGGCCCCAGGGAUACCCACCCUGGUAGGCCCAGCCACCCUUCCUAGUUCCACUUCCUGCCCUUUGUCUGGGGCUUAGACACAGGGGGCGGAGGGGGGGGUCAUCCAGCAGAAGGCAGACCCGUGUGACCCUGUGCUGUCUCCUAGGUGGUCAUCAAGUACGUGCCCUAUGUGGGCGACAGCAAGCUGCACUGGAUGAGUACACAUCUGAGUUGAUGCUGGGCGGUACCAACACCCUGAUUUUCAGCCUUAAUAUCUUCUUUUGUGAAAUGGGGAUAAAAGGCCACGCGUCCUAACGGGCUGUGGUGCGAAAUGAAUCCACGCGCUCCCUGUUCGGGCCGGGGUCUAUGGCCCACGUGGAUGCGGGGACUGGCACACGAUAGCCUCGUGGACUUUGCGCUGUAGGGCCUCGAACCCGAGUCCAAGGCCGGCGCACCCCUCCCCCCGGCGCCCCUCCCCCGGCGCGAGCAGAGCGAGGGGCGGAGCGAGGGCGGGGCCACGGCUCUUUUCUCUGGAGUUCGCGCGCCCUGAACGCUAGCAGUGCACCUCUUCGAACCGACUCCGCGCCGGUGAGUGGGGUCCCGGGCCGGGUACGAGUCCGGGAGGUCGAAGUCGGCUCGGCUCGGCCCGGCGGGAUCUCUUGUUCCCGCUGACCUCCUACCAAUCC